UACGAAGGGGGCUAGCGUUGCUCGGAUUGACUGGGCGUAAAGGGCGCGUAGGCGGUUCGUACAGUCAGACGUGAAAUUCCUGGGCUCAACCUGGGGGCUGCGUUUGAUACGUGCGGACUUGAGUGCGGAAGAGGGUCGUGGAAUUCCCAGUGUAGAGGUGAAAUUCGUAGAUAUUGGGAAGAACACGGGUGGCGAAGGCGGCGACCUGGUCCGAUACUGACGCUGAGGCGCGAAAGCGUGGGGAGCAAACAGG
RNAcentral lists this ribosomal RNA (253 nucleotides) under uncultured bacterium. Its description in RNAcentral is "partial 16S ribosomal RNA". It matches the Rfam family "Bacterial small subunit ribosomal RNA", at positions 524 to 776 of the family's 1533-position model. The record is from RNAcentral.